Molecule: ribosomal RNA, 400 nt
Filed under: Enterobacter sp. 135(2012)
Lineage: Bacteria; Pseudomonadati; Pseudomonadota; Gammaproteobacteria; Enterobacterales; Enterobacteriaceae
Description: bacterial SSU rRNA
Rfam family: Bacterial small subunit ribosomal RNA
Source: RNAcentral
GWUGAGUUUCMGAGAUGGGAYGUGCCUUCGGGAACUGUGAGACAGGUGCUGCAUGGCUGUCGUCAGCUCSUGUUGUGAAAUGUUGGGUUAAGUCCCGCAACGAGCGCAACCCUUAUCCUUUGUUGCCAGCGGUCCGGCCGGGAACUCAAAGGAGACUGCCAGUGAUAAACUGGAGGAAGGUGGGGAUGACGUCAAGUCAUCAUGGCCCUUACGACCAGGGCUACACACGUGCUACAAUGGCGCAUACAAAGAGAAGCGACCUCGCGAGAGCAAGCGGACCUCAUAAAGUGCGUCGUAGUCCGGAUUGGAGUCUGCAACUCGACUCCAUGAAGUCGGAAUCGCUAGUAAUCGUGGAUCAGAAUGCCACGGUGAAUACGUUCCCGGGUCUUGUACACACCGA